RNAcentral lists this ribosomal RNA (949 nucleotides) under Psychrobacter sp. 27F07-Zb1-2b. RNAcentral's name for it is "bacterial SSU rRNA". It matches the Rfam family "Bacterial small subunit ribosomal RNA", at positions 502 to 1452 of the family's 1533-position model. Lineage: Bacteria; Pseudomonadati; Pseudomonadota; Gammaproteobacteria; Moraxellales; Moraxellaceae. The record is from RNAcentral.
UCUGUGCCAGCAGCCGCGGUAAUACAGAGGGUGCAAGCGUUAAUCGGAAUUACUGGGCGUAAAGCGAGCGUAGGUGGCUUGAUAAGUCAGAUGUGAAAUCCCCGGGCUUAACCUGGGAACUGCAUCUGAUACUGUUAGGCUAGAGUAGGUGAGAGGAAGGUAGAAUUUCAGGUGUAGCGGUGAAAUGCGUAGAGAUCUGGAGGAAUACCGAUGGCGAAGGCAGCUUUCUGGCAUCAUAUUGACACUGAGGCUCGAAAGCGUGGGUAGCAAACAGGAUUAGAUACCCUGGUAGUCCACGCCGUAAACGAUGUCUACUAGUCGUUGGGUCCCUUGAGGACUUAGUGACGCAGCUAACGCAAUAAGUAGACCGCCUGGGGAGUACGGCCGCAAGGUUAAAACUCAAAUGAAUUGACGGGGGCCCGCACAAGCGGUGGAGCAUGUGGUUUAAUUCGAUGCAACGCGAAGAACCUUACCUGGUCUUGACAUACCCAGAAUCUUGUAGAGAUACGGGAGUGCCUUCGGGAAUUAGAAUACAGGUGCUGCAUGGCUGUCGUCAGCUCGUGUCGUGAGAUGUUGGGUUAAGUCCCGCAACGAGCGCAACCCUUGUCCUUAGUUACCAGCGGGUUAAGCCGGGAACUCUAAGGAUACUGCCAGUGACAAACUGGAGGAAGGCGGGGACGACGUCAAGUCAUCAUGGCCCUUACGACCAGGGCUACACACGUGCUACAAUGGUAGGUACAGAGGGCAGCUACACAGCGAUGUGAUGCGAAUCUUUCAAAGCCUAUCGUAGUCCAGAUUGGAGUCUGCAACUCGACUCCAUGAAGUAGGAAUCGCUAGUAAUCGCGGAUCAGAAUGCCGCGGUGAAUACGUUCCCGGGCCUUGUACACACCGCCCGUCACACCAUGGGAGUUGAUUGCACCAGAAGUGGUUAGCCUAACGUAAGAGGGCG